Molecule: transfer RNA, 72 nt
Filed under: Fukomys damarensis (Damara mole-rat)
Lineage: Eukaryota; Metazoa; Chordata; Mammalia; Rodentia; Bathyergidae
Rfam family: tRNA
About the family: Transfer RNA (tRNA) molecules are approximately 80 nucleotides in length. Their secondary structure includes four short double-helical elements and three loops (D, anti-codon, and T loops).
Source: Rfam by way of RNAcentral
GGGGAUAUAGCUCAGUGGCACCGUGUCUGCCUCACAAGCACAAGGUACUGAGUUCGAUCCCUGGUAUCCCCC